GACGAACGCUGGCGGCGUGCUUAACACAUGCAAGUCGAACGGAAAGGCCCUGCUUUUGUGGGGUGCUCGAGUGGCGAACGGGUGAGUAACACGUGAGUAACCUGCCCUUGACUUUGGGAUAACUUCAGGAAACUGGGGCUAAUACCGGAUAGGAGCUCCUGCUGCAUGGUGGGGGUUGGAAAGUUUCGGCGGUUGGGGAUGGACUCGCGGCUUAUCAGCCUGUUGGUGGGGUAGUGGCUUACCAAGGCUUUGACGGGUAGCCGGACUGAGAGGGUGACCGGCCACAUUGGGACUGAGAUACGGCCCAGACUCCUACGGGAGGCAGCAGUGGGGAAUAUUACACAAUGGGCGGAAGCCUUAUGCAGCAACGCCGCGUGCGGGAUGACGGCCUUCGGGUUGUAAACCGCUUUCGCCUGUGACGAAGCGUGAGUGACGGUAAUGGGUAAAGAAGCACCGGCUAACUACGUG
RNAcentral lists this ribosomal RNA (468 nucleotides) under uncultured bacterium. Its description in RNAcentral is "partial 16S ribosomal RNA". It matches the Rfam family "Bacterial small subunit ribosomal RNA", at positions 28 to 507 of the family's 1533-position model. The record is from RNAcentral.